Molecule: long non-coding RNA, 1644 nt
Filed under: Vulpes vulpes (red fox)
Lineage: Eukaryota; Metazoa; Chordata; Mammalia; Carnivora; Canidae
Description: lncRNA (ENSVVUG00000002196.1)
Source: RNAcentral
GGGAGAGUGAGACAGAGAGAGAGAGAAUGAGCACCUGAGCAGGGGGAGGUGCAGAGGGAGGAGACAGCAAAUCUCAAGCAGACUUCCUGUUAAGCAAGGAGCCCAAGGCAGGGGUUUAACUCACAGGCCUGAGAUCAUGACUUGAGCUGAAAUCAAGAGUCAAAUGCUUAUCCUACUGAGCCAUCCUUGUGCCUCUAAAGUCACACUUUUUAACUGGCCAAGGAAUCAUGGGGAUUUAAACCUUCUGACCUAUGCUUGAAAAUAUUAUUUGUUCCGGUAAUUUUUAGCAAACCUGGAGAGUGGACAGCCAAGCACAUGUUGCUAUUGCCAUUCUUUCUCCUCUGUGGAUGUGGGAUUGAGGAAGGUAAAUUCCUGGAAUUGCUUCAGUUCACAAAGCAGAGGUAUUUGGAAGCAUGUACUUAUCCUAGUAACGGAAAACAGUGCCUGUUCAUUCUUGAUGCCUGCUGCAUUACUAAAAGCUACCUUGCUGCUAUGUCUCAUUACGUGCUACAGUCAGACCCACUGUGGAAGUAUUACUACUGGCUAUUGCUUUUUCUUCAUGUGAAAUAUCUGGUCUUAUCUCCCACCUGCUGGAGAUGUGCAAUUGGGUUCUUUAAUUUCUUCCCACCUAUUGAAGGGACAAAAUCCACCUCAAAUAUGCCAGUGGAAAAAGAGUAUUUAAAAUGAAGACUCUACUAUCACACCAUUUCUCUUUCCCACUGUUGGGAUUUUACCUCCACUUUCUUUAACAGAGAUGGAACUGGAAAAAGCUAUCCCCACAUCUAUUCAGGUCCACCUAUUUUUCAGCUCCUAACAGACAUGGAUGAGGUUGGGAGGUGGGAGGUAAAAAUGCCCAUCACCCUACUGUCACUGGUUAGUGGACAGUUUCCAGUACCUGCCCACAACCUCCUAGUCAGCUGAUUUCUAGGCACCUGAAAUAUGUCAUUUUUUCCUUUGAUCCUUACCAGGAAUACAGGCCACUCUCCCAGUCUUGCAGGGACCAAUGAAUCAUGACCUCUUAUAGAUCUUUCGUAAUCCUACUGCAGAAGAGGAGCCACCAAAGCCUUGAUUGGUUCUGGGCUUAUGGAUUUCAUAUUUUGCAAAAGCUGUUACAAAAUAUUAUCUAACACUGGGUGUUAAUGCAACUGAUGAGUUAUUGAAAACUACAUCUGAAACUAUGAUGUACUGUAUGUUAGCUAAUUGAAUUUAAAUUAAAAAUAUUAUCUAAAUGUUUAUUCUUUUUUUCAUUCAGGAGUUUCACUUGACAUCAGGAGUUCUUAGCAUGGAUUUUAUAAGUUAACUUCAGGAGUCCAUAGCCCUCAGAAUUGUAUUGUAUAAAUUCAUUUUUUUUUUCUAGGAAAAGAUUCAGAUUCUCAAAGGGGCUCAGAGACGGCCACAAUACUAUGAAUUGUUGGUUUUUAGUACCUAAAUACAUUUGACUUAAGCAGAAAAUUCUCUACCUAUUUUUAUCCUUUUGCUAUUGUUUUGCAUGAUCCAGACUCUGUCUUCACAGAGCUAAUCUUGAUAGAAACACACACGGAACUGCCGCAUUUGAGUCUGAUAUUUGGUAUUACCACAUAUGUUCCAAAUCAUUAAUAUAACAAAGACAAUAAAUCAUUCUUUUGGUAUUUGUUAUUUUUAAAU